This is a long non-coding RNA of Oryctolagus cuniculus (rabbit), 956 nucleotides long. RefSeq lists it as uncharacterized. The record is from RefSeq and is a predicted model, not a curated record. NCBI's taxonomy places the organism in Eukaryota, Metazoa, Chordata, Mammalia, Lagomorpha, Leporidae.
CUGAGCUCACAGGAAUGAAGAGGAAGACAUAAAUGCAUCUCCUGGGCGUUAACACAAGGCCCUGACAUCUUAUCACCUGCCAUAGUGUGUGAGAGCUCAGACUUGAUGUAGUAACAACAGCUUUGGAGCCAAAAGACUUGGUUUUGAAUUGCCAUCUCAGCAUUACCUGGCCUGAGACAAGUGACUGAGCCUCCCUAAGCCUCGGUGUCCGAGUCUAUGAGAUGAGAGAUGAUAAAGCCUACUCAUUGUGAGAAUACAACCAGUAACGGAAAAAGCUUUCAGCUCUCCUGCCAUAAAGCGGCUACUGAGAAUUCAACUGAGAUGCUCUCCUGUGAAGCAGCAGGACAGAGGGGACAGAGUGGACGUCCUCCAGGAUGGACAUCAGAAACACCUGCUCCUACCUCUGACUCAAGCUUGCCUUUUAUGUAGCAGGAGGGGCCAGUAUUGUGGUGGAGUGAAUGAAGCCACCACCUAAGACACCAGCAGCCCACGUGGGUGCUGGUUCAAGUCCUGGCUGCUCCACUUGCAAUCCAGCUCCCUGCUAGUCGCCUGGAAAAAGCAGAAGAUGGCCAAGUAUGUGGGCCCCUAUUAUCCACACGGGAGACCCAGAUGAGGCUUCUGGUUCCUGGCUUUGGCUUGGCCCAGGUCUGGCUGUAGCAGCCAUCUGAGGAGUGAACCAACGGACAGAAGGCUGAUCUCUCUCUAUGUCUCUCCAUCUCUGUAACUCUUUCAAAUAAAAUAAAUAAAUCUUUAAAAAUAUAUUACAAUUGUCAUUAAACUGCAUGAGCAAUUACCACUGAGUUGAAAAUAAUGGAGUUUGUGCAUAAAAUGGGACAGUUUGAAGGUUCACUGUAGUCAUACAAAGAAGAGAGGAGCUGGCAGAUGCUGGUUGGGAAUGUGUUGGAGGCAGUCAUCUGUGGUAAGGUAUAGUCUGCCCUCUGAACAAUUCCCCUAUU